RNAcentral lists this ribosomal RNA (403 nucleotides) under uncultured bacterium. RNAcentral describes it as "partial 16S ribosomal RNA". It matches the Rfam family "Bacterial small subunit ribosomal RNA", at positions 30 to 526 of the family's 1533-position model. The record is from RNAcentral.
AUUGAACGCUGGCGGCAUGCCUAACACAUGCAAGUCGAGCGAGCGGCGGACGGGUGAGUAAUGUAUGGGGACUGCCCGAUAGAGGGGGAUAACUACUGGAAACGGUAGCUAAUACCGCAUCCUAUCGGAUAACCCAUAUGGGAUUAGCUAGUAGGUGAGGUACUGGCUCACCUAGGCGACGAUCCCUAGCUGGUCUGAGAGGAUGAUCAGCCACACUGGGACGGAGAAACGGCCCAGACUCCUACGGAGGCAGCAGUGGGGAAUAUUGGACAAUGGGGGAAAGCCUGAUGCAGCCAUGCCGCGUGUGUGAAGAAGGCCCUCGGGUUGUAAAGCACUGUCAGUCGGGAGGCGUUACCGACAGAAGAAGCACCGGCUAACUCCGUGCCAGCAGCCGCGGUAAUUC